UAUUAGCGUCGUUGAAAACCAAACCCGCGUCCGCCCCCCUCCUCCAUCCUCGAUCGACAUAUCAAGCCCUCCUCUGCCUCCUCCUCCCUCCCCUCCGGCCUUCUUCUGUUGCAAGAAACCGGUUCUUCCUCUCCCUCCGCCCGCACCCAUCCCGCCUCCUCUCUCUCUCUCUCUCUCUCGCUCUCUCGCCCUCUCUCGUUUCUUCUUCGCCCCGAUUCUUCUCCCUUCCCCCCUCCCGUCGCCUCGAUUCUUCUUCAUCCUCUCCCUCCGAACCCCGCAUUGCCUCCCAUAAAAAAUGACCGACGCCGAGCCCUCCUCCCCCUCCUCUGCCGCCUCCGCCGACUUUUGAUGCGCCGCCGUCUGCUCCACCUCCGCCACUGCGGCCGAGGCCAGCCCGCCGUCGUCGUCGGUGUGCUCCGCCUGUGGCGGCCCCACCGCCUCCAUCUCCUCUGCCGCCGGCCGCCACUUCCUUGGCUUCGUCGCCGAUCUCUCCCACUCUGUCCGCGGCCGCAAGAUCUCCGCCACUUUCCUUCUUUCAAUAUUCUGUGCCUUUAUCAUGAAUGAGGUCUGAUUCAGAAGAAUUACUAACGUGAUCUUGUUCUGGACCAUGUUAAUGCAGUGCAAAUGCUUUUAUUGUUUCCAAAAGAUUAAUUCCAUUCGUUUUAUGGAUUUUCCUGAAAUAUUAGGUUUAUGACAAAAUUUUACAUAGAGUGUGACUUCUAUGACUGUGUGGCGAAAUUGUUGUCUAAUUAGCAGGAUUUUCUAAUGACCAAAUUAUGCAACGCACUGUGAUGGUCCCUUUCUACAAAAAUCAGUUUUGUUAUUUUAAAAAUUUUUGGAAUAUGGUAGCAAAUUUGGUGUUUGGCAGACUGCUAUGUGAUUCAGGUUUGAUCCCAGGCAAAUGCGAGCAGAUCACAUGUAGUUUUAUAGCCUAAGUUAGAUACUUUUUUUUUUAUCAUGCUUGACGAUUCCUUUUAUGACAAAAAAAUUAAGGUUCUGUCUCUCUCAAUGGGUAGUUUCUACACAUUAUAGAAGAUUAGUGUUAUUUUGAGUUAUGCUGGAAUGUUGAAAGGGGAAGACAGAUAUUAUUGCUAGUAUAUAUGCAGAAUACAAUACCUUUGUUUGUUCCCACAUUAUAUUUUAUCCUUGGGUAUCAUAGAGAACAAUAUCUAAUAUGUCACAGUUGUUCUGAGUUGUAUCUGGGCAAUGUGUUGAGCUGGUCCUUAAGUUUAGAAUGGUCAAUGAAAUAACAACAAUUAUUAAAGCAUAUUUGACCUGUACGUAUAUUCUCUUUUAGUUAUGCCUACUAAUUAUUUCCUUAGAUCAAGUUUUCUUAAAUCUUGGGUCUACUGUUUCUGGAAUUUCUUAGGGAAGGCAUCUUUUAUCCAUCAAACUUAAUAGUCCUCGUGAGACAUGCGAUAGUGCAGAAAUAAUCAUUUUUAUGAUGAAUCUCGAAGGGUCAGGCUGAAGUCAACAAAAAAUGUAUUAAACAUUUCUAAGCUAAAAAAAAAAUGAUCUAUCUGCUGGAUGUUUAGAACAUGAAACUUGCAAAGUCUCCUUCGCACCUGAUAAAGGAUUUGUAGAUGCAUCUGCAAAUUUGUCUCCAGAGUUAUGUGUUGAAGAUCAUAGUACACUUGGAAGCCUUGGAUUGUCUAUUGAAAGGUCCUUUGAAGCAUUCCGUCCACUUCAAACAGGUAAUAUCAGUUCUAAUAACAUCAUUUCAGAUGGUGAAGCUGUGGCUGCCGCAUCUCGGAGACCAGCUUCCUUGCCUUUAGAACCUACUCAUGUAAGAGCGGGAGGUGAUCUGAAGUCAUGUGAUCCUGCCGUUCUUAUUUUAGAUGAAAAUAAGGAUGUGGAAGAGCCCUCAAAAGCCAAGGAACAACUUGAGAAUAUUUUUGUUCCUGAUGACUCUCAUAUUCCUGUUUCUACAGCAAUGAAGCAUGAUGGUCCCUUCUUAUAUUGAUCAAGGGCCGAAGAGACCAUCACCCCCAUACGAAGCCAAUCCUAUUCGAAGAUGGCUGGAAUUACUCAAGUAUUUCUAUAAAAUCCUACGACCCUCAUCGAGCAGUUUGUUUAUCCAUCAAAUUUUGCAUUGAACUGCUGCAGGUGCGCACAGAGGAAGAAUUGAAAUUGCCAUGCUUGGCACAAAAGACUGUAGUACUGAUAUUUAAACACUUCUAGAUGUUGUGCCAGAAACAGGUUGCAGCCCAUUCCCUUCUGUUGGCAUCCCCUCCUGCACCUGCGACGAUGACCCAUGCCCAACACUCGAACCUGAAGGAGAAACUCAAGCACAAUCCCCUUGUCACUCACGGAGCGCACCAAACGAGCUGGACAAAAUGGAAGAGCAGAGAUUUGAUAGAGCGAGCUGCUCAGGUAUCUUCUGGAAUAGAAGAAGCUGCCAUAGAGAACACCAAUGCAAUUCAGAGAUAAAUGCUUGAUUUGGCUUUUGCUUGUGAAUAAUCCAGUUCAUAGAAUCGCAAUGAGAGAGAUGACUGGCUAUUGUUUUUUUAGUGGCUUGCCCCAUUAUACAUCUUCUGUGCUUCAGCUAUGUAUAUGUUAUUUGCUUUCUCUUGGUAUUUCAGUAGUCAGCUGCAGCCUCCAAAUCUUUCAGGUAAUUUGAAGGUUAGGAUUGAUGGUCUUGUAGUUUGUUGUAAAUUAUUGUAUCAGGUCCAUGCCUUUAUUUGUUGGCAAAUCAUUGGAUUUCUGAUUACAUUCAGUAAUCAAACCAGCAAUAGUUUCUUAUCACUUAAUGUAGCAAGUUUGAGUUGCCUA
This is a non-coding RNA of Phoenix dactylifera (date palm), 2772 nucleotides long. NCBI's taxonomy places the organism in Eukaryota, Viridiplantae, Streptophyta, Magnoliopsida, Arecales, Arecaceae. The record is from RefSeq and is a predicted model, not a curated record.